Molecule: ribosomal RNA, 403 nt
Filed under: uncultured bacterium
Lineage: Bacteria
Description: partial 16S ribosomal RNA
Rfam family: Bacterial small subunit ribosomal RNA
Source: RNAcentral
AUUGAACGCUGGCGGCAGGCAUAACACAUUCAAGUCGAGCGAGCGGCGGACGGGUGAGGAAUGGAUGGGGACUGCCUGAUGGAUGGGGAUAAUUACUGGACACGGUGGCUAAUACCGCAUACUAUCGGAUAACCCAUAUGGGAUUAGCUAGUAGGUGGGGUAAAGGCUCACCUAGGCGACGAUCUCUUGCUGGUCUGAGAGGAUGAUCAGCCACACUGGGACUGAGACACGGCCCAGACUCCUACGGAGGCAGCAGUGGGGAAUAUUGCACAAUGGGCGCAAGCCUGAUGCAGCCAUGCCGCGUGUAUGAAGAAGGCCUUAGGGUUGUAAAGUACUUUCAGCCGGGAGGCGUUACCCGCAGAAGAAGCACCGGCUAACUCCGUGCCAGCAGCCGCGGUAAUUC